GAUAAACGCUGGCGGCGCACCUAAGACAUGCAAGUUGAACGGACUUACUCGAAAUAUUUCUAUUUUGAAGCGGUUAGUGGCGGACUGGUGAGUAACGCGUAAGGAACCUGCCUAUUAGAGGGGAAUAACAGUGAGAAAUCAUUGCUAAUACCGCAUAUGCCAUAGAUAUCACAUGAUAACAGUGGGAAAGGAGCAAUCCGCUAAUAGAUGGCCUUGCGUCUGAUUAGAUAGUUGGUGGGGUAACGCCCUACCAAGUCGACGAUCAGUAGCCGGACUGAGAGGUUGGACGGCCACAUUGGGAGUGAGAUACGGCCCAGACUCCUACGGGAGGCAGCAGUCGGGAAUAGUGCGCAAUGGAGGAAACUCUGAAGCAGUGACGCCGCGUAUAGGAAGAAGGUUUUCGGAUUGUAAACUAUUGUCGUUAGGGAAGAGAAAGGACAGUACCUAAGGAGGAAGCUCCGGCUAACUACGUG
RNAcentral lists this ribosomal RNA (473 nucleotides) under uncultured bacterium. RNAcentral's name for it is "partial 16S ribosomal RNA". It matches the Rfam family "Bacterial small subunit ribosomal RNA", at positions 28 to 507 of the family's 1533-position model. The record is from RNAcentral.